CCUCAGGUGCUCUCCUUCCCUAUAAAUCUCUGAAAAAGAGAAUGAAAUGAAAAGAAAAAAAAUUGAAAAGGAAAAAAUGACCAAUCUAUGUGGGCAAAGGUCUUACCCAUUAAUUUUUUUCAUCUUUCCUUUGUUUUCGUUGAUUUUUCCUAUGUUUUCCCCAAUUUUUCCUUUGGUUUUUCUAUCCUCAAGAGUUUCGACCUAGUGGAGGCUUGGUAAGG
Molecule: long non-coding RNA, 221 nt
Filed under: Elaeis guineensis (African oil palm)
Lineage: Eukaryota; Viridiplantae; Streptophyta; Magnoliopsida; Arecales; Arecaceae
Description: long non-coding RNA (EGUI_LNC004595)
Source: RNAcentral